RNAcentral lists this ribosomal RNA (207 nucleotides) under uncultured bacterium. RNAcentral's name for it is "partial 16S ribosomal RNA". It matches the Rfam family "Bacterial small subunit ribosomal RNA", at positions 568 to 774 of the family's 1533-position model. The record is from RNAcentral.
CGUGUAGGCGGUUUCGUAUGUCUGACGUGAAAGCCCCGGGCUCACCCCGGGAGGUGUGUUGGAAACUGCGAGACUAGAGUCCCGGAGAGGAAGGUGGAAUUCCAGGUGUAGCGGUGAAAUGCGUAGAUAUCUGGAAGAACACCGGCGGCGAAGGCGGCCUUCUGGACGGUGACUGACGCUGAGACGCGAAAGCGUGGGGAGCAAACG